RNAcentral lists this unclassified non-coding RNA (421 nucleotides) under Hevea brasiliensis (rubber tree). The record is from RNAcentral. Lineage: Eukaryota; Viridiplantae; Streptophyta; Magnoliopsida; Malpighiales; Euphorbiaceae.
GAAAGCUGGAUAUUAUGUGCUUUUGUCCAACAUGUAUGCAUCAGCGGGUAGAUAUGACGAGGCUGAGAUAAUUAGGGACUUGAUGAAAGAAAAGAAUGUCUCUAAGGUACCUGGGUAUAGCUUGAUUGAAUCAAAGAGUUCUUUUCCUCCAUCACAAAAUGAAGAUCUGGAUUUUCUUGAAAUCUGAUGAGUAAUUUUGUGUGAUAUACUUACAACGGCUCCAAUUGCUCUGUUGGAAUAGGAUACAAAAACAGAAUGCUACAGCGUUCAGAGAUAAAGUUAGUAUUACUAUGAUUACUAUGAGCAUAAUGCGUAUAACCUUUCAUAAUUGUAGACCUGCAGCAGUAAGUUGCAUGUUGAGGGAAAUCAUGACUUUGCAUUUUGGAGGAUGCUUUGUAUUGUAUAUCAUGACCUUAAGCAC